GAUGAACGCUGGCGGCGUGCCUAAUACAUGCCAGUCGAGCGAACAGACGAGGAGCUUGCUCCUCUGACGUGAGCGGCGGACGGGUGAGUAACACGUGGAUAACCUACCUAUAAGACUGGGAUAACUUCGGGAAACCGGAGCUAAUACCGGAUAAUAUAUUGAACCGCAUGGUGCAAUAGUGAAAGACGGUUGUGCUGUCACUUAUAGAGGGAUCUGGGCCGCAUUAGCUAGUUGGUCAGGUAACGGCUUACCAAGGCGACUAUGCGUGGCCGACGGGAGAGGGGGAUCGGCCACACUGGAACUGAGACACGGUCCAGACGCCUACGGGAGGCAGCAGUCGGGAAUCUGCCGCAACGGGCGAAAGCCUGACGGAGCAACGCCGCGUGAGUGACGAAGGUCUUCGGAGCGUAAAACUCUGUUACUAGGGAAGAACCAAUGUGUAAGUAAAUAUGCACUGCUUGACGGUAAUUAAUAAGAAAGCCCCGGCUAACUACGUG
Molecule: ribosomal RNA, 497 nt
Filed under: uncultured bacterium
Lineage: Bacteria
Description: partial 16S ribosomal RNA
Rfam family: Bacterial small subunit ribosomal RNA
Source: RNAcentral